RNAcentral lists this ribosomal RNA (1000 nucleotides) under Lactiplantibacillus sp. Its description in RNAcentral is "bacterial SSU rRNA". It matches the Rfam family "Bacterial small subunit ribosomal RNA", at positions 34 to 994 of the family's 1533-position model. The record is from RNAcentral. Lineage: Bacteria; Bacillati; Bacillota; Bacilli; Lactobacillales; Lactobacillaceae.
CCCCGGGGCGGCGGGCUAUACAUGCAAGUCGAACGAACUCUGGUAUUGAUUGGUGCUUGCAUCAUGAUUUACAUUUGAGUGAGUGGCGAACUGGUGAGUAACACGUGGGAAACCUGCCCAGAAGCGGGGGAUAACACCUGGAAACAGAUGCUAAUACCGCAUAACAACUUGGACCGCAUGGUCCGAGCUUGAAAGAUGGCUUCGGCUAUCACUUUUGGAUGGUCCCGCGGCGUAUUAGCUAGAUGGUGGGGUAACGGCUCACCAUGGCAAUGAUACGUAGCCGACCUGAGAGGGUAAUCGGCCACAUUGGGACUGAGACACGGCCCAAACUCCUACGGGAGGCAGCAGUAGGGAAUCUUCCACAAUGGACGAAAGUCUGAUGGAGCAACGCCGCGUGAGUGAAGAAGGGUUUCGGCUCGUAAAACUCUGUUGUUAAAGAAGAACAUAUCUGAGAGUAACUGUUCAGGUAUUGACGGUAUUUAACCAGAAAGCCACGGCUAACUACGUGCCAGCAGCCGCGGUAAUACGUAGGUGGCAAGCGUUGUCCGGAUUUAUUGGGCGUAAAGCGAGCGCAGGCGGUUUUUUAAGUCUGAUGUGAAAGCCUUCGGCUCAACCGAAGAAGUGCAUCGGAAACUGGGAAACUUGAGUGCAGAAGAGGACAGUGGAACUCCAUGUGUAGCGGUGAAAUGCGUAGAUAUAUGGAAGAACACCAGUGGCGAAGGCGGCUGUCUGGUCUGUAACUGACGCUGAGGCUCGAAAGUAUGGGGUAGCAAACAGGAUUAGAUACCCUGGUAGUCCAUACCGUAAACGAUGAAUGCUAAGUGUUGGGAGGGUUUCCGCCCUUCAGUGCUGCAGCUAACGCAUUAAGCAUUCCGCCUGGGGAGUACGGCCGCAAGGCUGAACUCAAAGGAAUUGACGGGGGGCCCGCACAAGCGGUGGAGCAUUGUGGUUUUAAUUCGAAGCUACGCGAAGAACCUUACCAAGGUCUUUGAACAUACUA